This 712-nucleotide long non-coding RNA is filed under the name Homo sapiens (human). Its description in RNAcentral is "HSALNT0291008". The record is from RNAcentral. Lineage: Eukaryota; Metazoa; Chordata; Mammalia; Primates; Hominidae.
UCAUAUUUAUUCAACUUGUACCCUACUCAAAGACCAAAUUAAAUUAUUUCAUUAUUCCCAAGAACUUUCGAAGGGAUAAAAAGGGUUCAUGCCAACCAUUACUAAUGCCUACUAGUGCCACAGACUGGGAGCUCCCUGAGGGCAGGGAUGGCGCUAACCUACCCUCGUAUUCUCUGUGGCAGACAGACAAGUGCCGCACGAGGGAUGCAGCAACCACAGAGGGAUGCGGGGCUUGGAGGUAGGGUUGGGGCCGGGGCUGGCUCGAGCGCGCUCGGGACGUACAGGAAGGGGCCAGAUGCGAUGCUCCACGAGAGCACCAGGCACUCAGUCAAGAGUUGGGCACGCGUUGGGAGGAUUAUCUGACCAGUUUUUCCUUUUUUAAAUAAAUCAAUUGCUAAGUUCCUGUUCAUCCAGAAAGAGGCACUGCUCAGCAAGUUGAGGAAUCUAUGAUGAAAGUAGUUCUUUUCUUGCUUCCAUGCUACUGGUUCUGUAGAAAAUCAGCCUAUUCAAAAGAUUUUUGCCCUUGAUGAAGUCUCCAGCCCUCAAGAUUUAACUGCAAUAUAACUUAGAAGGAGUGAGAAGAUCAAAAAAGUAACUGCAAUAUAACAUUAACUUGGAUUUUAAGAUUAUCAACUCUUAGGUAGACUGGAGAAACACCUUUUCCUCUGGCCUUUAAAGCACAAUAAACUUAUCCAGCAAGGAUGGCGACUAA